This 1139-nucleotide unclassified non-coding RNA is filed under the name Hevea brasiliensis (rubber tree). Lineage: Eukaryota; Viridiplantae; Streptophyta; Magnoliopsida; Malpighiales; Euphorbiaceae. The record is from RNAcentral.
CCCUGAUUAACAAUUCCAUCAUCUUCUUAUACAUUGGCAUAUAAUGAUCAUUAAUCAUCGUUCUUGAAAGGCGGAUCUUACUGUACAGUUCUCUAGGUGUCUCGUAUAUACCCACAUCUUCAGUGGUUCCAUCAUCUAUGUCAAUAUUGGAAGGCACAGAAACAAUAUGCAUGAUUCUACCAGGUGGAUAGAACUGGUGGCUGUCUAAAACAUCUGCCGAAGUUAUGGGACUUAAGGUUUCGGCUGCAUUGGCCAGAACACUCUCUUCUUCAGUAAUUUCUUUCGCUGCAGCAGCUUCUUCUGCCUGGGCCUCAAUAUCAACUUCAUUCUCUUGCCUCUGAAGCUCCUUCUCCAGUUCAUACCACAGUUCACCUUCAGUAACAUCUUCAAUGGCAGAAGAAUUCAUGACUCUAUCAUCAGAAAUAAGAGGCUCGUCUCAUGCCCUGUUUCACUGCUUGAAUUACAUUCUAGUUUGCUCUGCGCUGUCUCUUUAGUUUGCACUUCAGCCACAAUAGUAUCAGAACUUUCAGAUACUACAAAAGCUUCUGGCAAAUCAUCCACUUUAGAGUGUGCUGAUGGACCCACAGAACGACGUCUUGGCCCUAUGCAUAGCCAUGAUGAUAGAGAUGAAGGUGUUCUGACAACAGCUUGGGCAACAUUUUGAGCUCGCUUCAUCACAACCUGAGUGCUGCUAGAAACAGGGCGNNNCGCAGAAGUGCACCUGCACCAGCAACUCUAGCUUUAGCACUAGCUAUUGAUGGUAGACGAGAUCCCAGAGCAGUUGCAGAACGAUAAACAACAUUUAGGACUCUAGUGUGCUCAACUUGAUCCCGCAAAUCAUUUAACCAAGAUGAUGCUGUUACCUCAGAGCGAAGGUUAUCAACAGAGGCAGCUGAAAAUGUAGGCACCAGAUCAGAUCCAUUGAUGAUGGUAGUAAUAAAGUGCUUCCCCGAUUCUGCUAAAUCCCAAGUCAUACAGGCAGCUGGGGCAAAUGUGACACAAGUGCUAGAAGAGAACUCCUUCUGUUCCCGAAGAAUAUAUGUUAAUAACGCAGCAGUACCCCCUCCAAGUGAAUGCCCAACAAUCUUAACAAUGUGGUCGGGAUGUUCACCAAGUGCCUUAAGCAGGCAAGGAGUGCU